This 62-nucleotide transfer RNA is filed under the name Amynthas tokioensis. RNAcentral describes it as "tRNA-His". The record is from RNAcentral. Lineage: Eukaryota; Metazoa; Annelida; Clitellata; Crassiclitellata; Megascolecidae.
AGAAAGAUAGGUUAUAAAACCGCUGAGCUGUGGAUUCAGAGAUGUACGAUAUACUCUUUUUC